UACGUAGGGGGCAAGCGUUGUCCGGAUUUAUUGGGCGUAAAGAGCUCGUAGGUGGUUCGGUAAGUCGGAUGUGAAAUCUCCAGGCUCAACCUGGAGGGGUCAUUCGAUACUGCCGUGACUAGAGGUCGGUAGGGGAGUGUGGAAUUCCUGGUGGAGCGGUGAAAUGCGCAGAUAUCUGGAGGAACACCGGUGGCGAAGGCGGCAUCCUGGACCGACACUGACGCUGAUGAGCGAAAGCCAGGGGAGCAAACGGG
This 254-nucleotide ribosomal RNA is filed under the name uncultured bacterium. RNAcentral's name for it is "partial 16S ribosomal RNA". It matches the Rfam family "Bacterial small subunit ribosomal RNA", at positions 524 to 776 of the family's 1533-position model. The record is from RNAcentral.